GGUUAAGUGACUAAGCGUACACGGUGGAUGCCUAGGCAGUCAGAGGCGAUGAAGGGCGUGCUAAUCUGCGAAAAGCGUCGGUAAGGUGAUAUGAACCGUUACAACCGGCGAUACCCGAAUGGGGAAACCCAGUGUGUUUCGACACACUAUCAUGUCAUGAAUACAUAGUGGCAUGAGGCGAACCGGGGGAACUGAAACAUCUAAGUACCCCGAGGAAAAGAAAUCAACCGAGAUUCCCCCAGUAGCGGCGAGCGAACGGGGAGGAGCCCAGAACCUGAAUCGGCUUGUGUGUUAGUGGAAGCGUCUGGAAAGUCGCGCAGCAAAGGGUGAUAGCCCCGUACACUAAAAUGCACAGGUCGUGAGUUCGAUGAGUAGGGCGGGACACGUGACAUCCUGUCUGAAUAUGGGGGGACCAUCCUCCAAGGCUAAAUACUCCUGACUGACCGAUAGUGAACCAGUACCGUGAGGGAAAGGCGAAAAGAACCCCGGCGAGGGGAGUGAAAUAGAACCUGAAACCGUGUACGUACAAGCAGUGGGAGCACCUUCGUGGUGUGACUGCGUACCUUUUGUAUAAUGGGUCAGCGACUUAUAUUUUGUAGCAAGGUUAACCGUAUAGGGGAGCCGUAGGGAAACCGAGUCUUAACUGGGCGAAUAGUUGCAAGGUAUAGACCCGAAACCCGGUGAUCUAGCCAUGGGCAGGUUGAAGGUUGGGUAACACUAACUGGAGGACCGAACCGACUAAUGUUGAAAAAUUAGCGGAUGACUUGUGGCUGGGGGUGAAAGGCCAAUCAAACCGGGAGAUAGCUGGUUCUCCCCGAAAGCUAUUUAGGUAGCGCCUCGUGAACUCAUCUUCGGGGGUAGAGCACUGUUUCGGCUAGGGGGCCAUCCCGGCUUACCAAACCGAUGCAAACUCCGAAUACCGAAGAAUGUUAUCACGGGAGACACACGGCGGGUGCUAACGUCCGUCGUGAAGAGGGAAACAACCCAGACCGCCAGCUAAGGUCCCAAAGUCAUGGUUAAGUGGGAAACGAUGUGGGAAGGCAUAGACAGCCAGGAUGUUGGCUUAGAAGCAGCCAUCAUUUAAAGAAAGCGUAAUAGCUCACUGGUCGAGUCGGCCUGCGCGGAAGAUGUAACGGGGCUAAACCAUGCACCGAAGCUGCGGCAGCGACGCUUAGGCGUUGUUGGGUAGGGGAGCGUUCUGUAAGCCGUUGAAGGUGGCCUGUGAGGGUUGCUGGAGGUAUCAGAAGUGCGAAUGCUGACAUAAGUAACGAUAAAGCGGGUGAAAAGCCCGCUCGCCGGAAGACCAAGGGUUCCUGUCCAACGUUAAUCGGGGCAGGGUGAGUCGACCCCUAAGGCGAGGCUGAAAAGCGUAGUCGAUGGGAAACAGGUUAAUAUUCCUGUACUUGGUGUUACUGCGAAGGGGGGACGGAGAAGGCUAGGCUAGCCGGGCGACGGUUGUCCCGGUUUAAGCGUGUAGGGGGUGUGACCUGGUAAAUCCGGUUGCAUAUCAACCCUGAGGCGUGAUGACGAUGCACUACGGUGCAGAAGUAGUUGAUGCCCUGCUUCCAGGAAAAGCCUCUAAGCUCUAGGUAACAUUGAAUCGUACCCCAAACCGACACAGGUGGUCAGGUAGAGAAUACCAAGGCGCUUGAGAGAACUCGGGUGAAGGAACUAGGCAAAAUGGUGCCGUAACUUCGGGAGAAGGCACGCUGGCAUGUAGGUGAAGUCCUUCGCGGAUGGAGCUGAAGCCAGUCGAAGAUACCAGCUGGCUGCAACUGUUUAAUAAAAACACAGCACUGUGCAAACACGAAAGUGGACGUAUACGGUGUGACGCCUGCCCGGUGCUGGAAGGUUAAUUGAUGGGGUCAGCCGCAAGGCGAAGCUCUUGAUCGAAGCCCCAGUAAACGGCGGCCGUAACUAUAACGGUCCUAAGGUAGCGAAAUUCCUUGUCGGGUAAGUUCCGACCUGCACGAAUGGCGUAAUGAUGGCCAGGCUGUCUCCACCCGAGACUCAGUGAAAUUGAACUCGCUGUGAAGAUGCAGUGUACCCGCGGCAAGACGGAAAGACCCCGUGAACCUUUACUAUAGCUUGACACUGAACAUUGAGCCUUGAUGUGUAGGAUAGGUGGGAGGCUUUGAAGCGUGGACGCCAGUCUGCGUGGAGCCAUCCUUGAAAUACCACCCUUUAAUGUUUGAUGUUCUAACUCGGCCCCAUAAUCUGGGGUGAGGACAGUGUCUGGUGGGUAGUUUGACUGGGGCGGUCUCCUCCCAAAGAGUAACGGAGGAGCACGAAGGUUAGCUAAUCACGGUCGGACAUCGUGAGGUUAGUGCAAAGGCAUAAGCUAGCUUGACUGCGAGAGUGACGGCUCGAGCAGGUACGAAAGUAGGUCUUAGUGAUCCGGUGGUUCUGAAUGGAAGGGCCAUCGCUCAACGGAUAAAAGGUACUCCGGGGAUAACAGGCUGAUACCGCCCAAGAGUUCAUAUCGACGGCGGUGUUUGGCACCUCGAUGUCGGCUCAUCACAUCCUGGGGCUGAAGUAGGUCCCAAGGGUAUGGCUGUUCGCCAUUUAAAGUGGUACGCGAGCUGGGUUUAGAACGUCGUGAGACAGUUCGGUCCCUAUCUGCCGUGGGCGUUGGAAGAUUGAGAGGGGUUGCUCCUAGUACGAGAGGACCGGAGUGAACGCACCACUGGUGUUCGGGUUGUCAUGCCAAUGGCAUUGCCCGGUAGCUAAGUGCGGAAAAGAUAAGCGCUGAAAGCAUCUAAGCGCGAAACUUGCCUCAAGAUGAGUCUUCCCUGGGCCUUUAAGGCCCCUGAAGGAACGUUUAAGACUAAGACGUUGAUAGGCUGGGUGUGUAAGUGCAGCGAUGCAUUGAGCUAACCAGUACUAAUGAUCCGUGAGGCUUAACCUU
This 2908-nucleotide ribosomal RNA is filed under the name Serratia marcescens. RNAcentral describes it as "23S ribosomal RNA". It matches the Rfam family "Bacterial large subunit ribosomal RNA". RNAcentral also lists the same sequence under 1 other name. Lineage: Bacteria; Pseudomonadati; Pseudomonadota; Gammaproteobacteria; Enterobacterales; Yersiniaceae. The record is from RNAcentral.